GCUUACGGCCAUACCAACCUGGCUAUGCUCGAUCUCGUCUGAUCUCGGAAGCUAAGCAGGUUUGGGCCUGGUUAGUACUUGGAUGGGAGACCGCCUGGGAAUACCAGGUGCUGUAAGCU
Molecule: ribosomal RNA, 119 nt
Filed under: Carassius auratus (goldfish)
Lineage: Eukaryota; Metazoa; Chordata; Actinopteri; Cypriniformes; Cyprinidae
Source: RNAcentral